Molecule: small nuclear RNA, 164 nt
Organism: Nannospalax galili (Upper Galilee mountains blind mole rat)
Lineage: Eukaryota; Metazoa; Chordata; Mammalia; Rodentia; Spalacidae
Gene: U1
Rfam family: U1 spliceosomal RNA
About the family: U1 is a small nuclear RNA (snRNA) component of the spliceosome (involved in pre-mRNA splicing). Its 5' end forms complementary base pairs with the 5' splice junction, thus defining the 5' donor site of an intron.
Source: Ensembl
UAAAUUAUCUGGCAGGGGAGAUACCGUGAUCACGAAGGUGGUUUUCCCAGGGAGAGGCUUAUCCAUUGAACCCCAGAUGUGCUGACCCCUGCGAUUUCCCCAAAUGUGGGAAACUCGACUGCAAAAUUUGUGGUAGUGGGGGACUGCGUUCACGCUCUCCCGUU